This 22-nucleotide non-coding RNA is filed under the name Arabidopsis thaliana (thale cress). The record is from RNAcentral. Lineage: Eukaryota; Viridiplantae; Streptophyta; Magnoliopsida; Brassicales; Brassicaceae.
GGGUGAAGAGAUUGAGUUAGUC